CACCAACUGAAUAGGAAUUAUUUAUAAAAUUUCAUGCUAACAAUAGUAAACAUGAACAACAGUGUCACUCUUUAGUGUAAAAUUGUUGUAAACAACAGAACAAAAAUUAAAUAUUUUAAGGAGCUGGCAGGCACAUUGGUGCUCACGACAGCAAGUCUUGGACCCCUAUCUACCUCCAAAGGAACGUCUCACCAAAGGAUGACGUUUUACAGCCUCUUCAAAAAAAAAAAAAAAAAAAAGAUCAAUACUUGGUGAAAACCCAGCGAGAAUCAAUCACAGGACUAAAUAUCGCGAUAUAUGGCAAUAUCGAUAUUUUGGUACACCCCUCCUGGAAAUCAGUUGAAUUUUGAACAAUCAGGGAUUCCGAUUGUAGUGCUUAUCGUCCCGUUCAAAAUGCAGAAGUGCUAAAAAUUCAAAAAUUGAUCAAGAUUGAGAAAUUAAUACUUAUGCCUGGCUAGAAUUAUAUAAGGAGUUCCAUAAGUCUCCAUACGCAAAUAUUCAAAGAUAAUAAAGGAAACAUUCAGUUCAAAUUGUUGUCUCGUUGCAUUAAAAGUAAAGCAAAGUGCUGGUGAAGUUCUGCCAACAUGGCCGGGGUCUUCCCAUGUGCUCACACUCGCACCUAAUUUUCUCAAUCAGAAGUUUGUUUCCAGACGGAGCACACAUGAGGAAAGACGGAGCAGGAGGAAAACAUCAUUAGACAGCAGUGUGUCAGGAGCAUUGACAGCUGCUGGACUGCAUUUGGUCUGCUUCCGCCUCGAGGUGCCUUUCAGGCCGUGUGAUGGUUUUUAUCACAUGGCACGAGACCACUGGAGCAUGCAUGUGAGGAGGUGAACUUGUGUUGUUGUUGUCAAACAUGUCUGUAUUUUUCUUUCCUCUCUUUUUUAAACCUGCCGCUAAUCCCUUUUUUUUCUCCUCCUGUCAAGGAUUUUUGUUCACGUGUCAACGAAGCAAAACCGCCUCCCUGAUGACACACACUGUUUUUGCAGCUGAGUAUGAAAGAGGGAGAAAGCAAACACAAAUGAAGUGUGGUAAUGUGCGGCAGCGUCAAACAGCAAAUGCGGCUGCAUGUUGCAUUCAAGUGCAAUCAUGGAAAUAUUAUAAAGAUGACAAUGUGUAAACCACAGCACAGGUGCUUUAACUGGAGGCACGCUAUCGUUAAAAUUAAGUUAAAUCUGAAUUUUACUGACUGUCUUUGACCAAAGUUUGUUGUAUUAAAAGCAUUAGAUUUUUAAUAAAAAAAAAACAAUUUAGCAUUUAAGAUUAAAAGAAGCAGGCAGUCAUUUUCUCUUAAGAUUUUCCUUUAAAAUCUAAAAAUAUAUUUUUUAUGUGUAUUGUUUUCCUCAUUUUAUUAUAAAACCGUAUUUAUGGGCUGUGGUAUCUGUGGAUUGAUGCUUUUUUUUUUUUUUUUUACUUCACAUUUUCCAUGUGGUUAAUAUGACGGCUCUAACGAUCUAGAAUGUAAUGGGAUGUAAUUGCCAGCUCUAACUGUGCCUCUAUCGCAAGCUUUUAUUGUUCUUUAUUGGACACCAUUCACACUCUGAUAGUGCACUUUGCUAAAUUAGGCUUGAUGCAGAUCUUUGUUAAUGAGCUAUAUGCGCGCACUGUGUGUUUGGGCUCGUCUCGGAACAGCUAUUAAACACAACGCUCACUGGUUUACCGAGCUAUCCUUGAAGCGUUAAUGUCUGACCAGUUUAUUUAAAUCUGUGUCGUGUUUGAAAGAAACGUGCUUCUCUGUUUACCAGCUGUCCCACAUUUUUGUUUUCACAACUGCUCUGAUUGGAAAAAAAAGAGCACAUUCUACCCAAGAUGCAUCACGAUCUGCCCUCUGUGUGACCCCGUCCUCCAUGAUGUGAGUGUCUGGCUAACGGCGCGAUCCCGCAUCAUCCGUUUUUUGCCCAAUCAGAAUCCUCGUCGGACGCUGAGCGGCUGGCGCUGGGAUUGAGCUUCGGAGACGCGACUGGGAUAGCGUCACAAAACAUAGCGAAAAA
Molecule: long non-coding RNA, 1988 nt
Organism: Oryzias melastigma (Indian medaka)
Lineage: Eukaryota; Metazoa; Chordata; Actinopteri; Beloniformes; Adrianichthyidae
Exons: 2
Source: RefSeq, a predicted model, not a curated record